This 999-nucleotide ribosomal RNA is filed under the name Micrococcus sp. RG-29. RNAcentral's name for it is "bacterial SSU rRNA". It matches the Rfam family "Bacterial small subunit ribosomal RNA", at positions 29 to 1040 of the family's 1533-position model. Lineage: Bacteria; Bacillati; Actinomycetota; Actinomycetes; Micrococcales; Micrococcaceae. The record is from RNAcentral.
GAGAACGCUGGCGGCGUGCUUAACACAUGCAAGUCGAACGAUGAAGCCCAGCUUGCUGGGUGGAUUAGUGGCGAACGGGUGAGUAACACGUGAGUAACCUGCCCUUAACUCUGGGAUAAGCCUGGGAAACUNGGUCUAAUACCGGAUAGGAGCGCCUACCGCAUGGUGGGUGUUGGAAAGAUUUAUCGGUUUUGGAUGGACUCGCGGCCUAUCAGCUUGUUGGUGAGGUAAUGGCUCACCAAGGCGACGACGGGUAGCCGGCCUGAGAGGGUGACCGGCCACACUGGGACUGAGACACGGCCCAGACUCCUACGGGAGGCAGCAGUGGGGAAUAUUGCACAAUGGGCGAAAGCCUGAUGCAGCGACGCCGCGUGAGGGAUGACGGCCUUCGGGUUGUAAACCUCUUUCAGUAGGGAAGAAGCGAAAGUGACGGUACCUGCAGAAGAAGCACCGGCUAACUACGUGCCAGCAGCCGCGGUAAUACGUAGGGUGCGAGCGUUAUCCGGAAUUAUUGGGCGUAAAGAGCUCGUAGGCGGUUUGUCGCGUCUGUCGUGAAAGUCCGGGGCUUAACCCCGGAUCUGCGGUGGGUACGGGCAGACUAGAGUGCAGUAGGGGAGACUGGAAUUCCUGGUGUAGCGGUGGAAUGCGCAGAUAUCAGGAGGAACACCGAUGGCGAAGGCAGGUCUCUGGGCUGUAACUGACGCUGAGGAGCGAAAGCAUGGGGAGCGAACAGGAUUAGAUACCCUGGUAGUCCAUGCCGUAAACGUUGGGCACUAGGUGUGGGGACCAUUCCACGGUUUCCGCGCCGCAGCUAACGCAUUAAGUGCCCCGCCUGGGGAGUACGGCCGCAAGGCUAAAACUCAAAGGAAUUGACGGGGGCCCGCACAAGCGGCGGAGCAUGCGGAUUAAUUCGAUGCAACGCGAAGAACCUUACCAAGGCUUGACAUGUUCCCGAUCGCCGUAGAGAUACGGUUUCCCCUUUGGGGCGGUUCACCAGUG